UCGUCGCAGCUGUGUGUGUGACAGUAAGUAACGACAUGGUGCAUGGGAAAUAGCCAAUAUGUAAGAAGUUGGCACUGCAUGGGAGCCCCUCAGCACUUGCAGAGAUAUGGCCGGCACCCGGGGUCCACGUGCGCCCAGAUGGAGUCCAGGGAAGGCUUUGCAGACAGUGUCUAUGGCAUCCUCAUCUAACGAGGCGUACAGAAGGCUCUAAGCAUGUUGCAUCAUUAUGUAAAGCAGUCCACCCUAUCUGAAUGUAUAAUCCUGCCUGCCAACUCUGCGUCAGGCUCAGAGGCCGUGCAAAAUCGCAGCUCUGCCCAGCGCUGUGCUCUGGGACGCUAAGCUCAGAGGGGUGGCACUUGCUUGAGGUCACACUCUGGGGAGGGCCGGAGCCCAGGCUUGGA
Molecule: long non-coding RNA, 401 nt
Organism: Tupaia belangeri chinensis (Chinese tree shrew)
Lineage: Eukaryota; Metazoa; Chordata; Mammalia; Scandentia; Tupaiidae
Exons: 3
Source: RefSeq, a predicted model, not a curated record